AUAUCUAUGAUGGGGACACUGAACUAAAAGCAAUUUAAAACGUUCCCAAACUUCAUGGAAUGGUUCACCUUCAAUUUGUGAAAAAAGUAGCAAUCUUACCUCUAAAUUC
Small nucleolar RNA from Pistacia vera, 109 nucleotides. NCBI's taxonomy places the organism in Eukaryota, Viridiplantae, Streptophyta, Magnoliopsida, Sapindales, Anacardiaceae. The record is from RefSeq and is a predicted model, not a curated record.